GAUGAACGCUGGCGGCGUGCUUAACACAUGCAAGUCGAACGGUGAAGCUCCAGCUUGCUGGAGUGGAUCAGUGGCGAACGGGUGAGUAACACGUGAGCAACCUGCCCCUGACUCUGGGAUAACAGCCGGAAACGGCUGCUAAUACCGGAUAUGCACCAUGAACGCAUGUUCUGUGGUGGGAAAGAUGUUUCGGUUGGGGAUGGGCUCGCGGCCUAUCAGCUUGUUGGUGAGGUAAUGGCUCACCAAGGCGUCGACGGGUAGCCGGCCUGGGAGGGUGACCGGCCCCCCUGGGACUGGGGCAGGGACCAGACUCCUACGGGGGGCAACCGGGGGGAAUAUGGCACAAUGGGCCGAAGCCGGGUGCAACAACCCCGGGGUUGGGAAGACGGGCUUUGGGGUGUGAACCUCUUUUAGCAGGGAAGAAGCGAGAGUGACGGUACCUGCAGAAAAAGCGCCGGCUAACUACGUG
Molecule: ribosomal RNA, 469 nt
Filed under: uncultured bacterium
Lineage: Bacteria
Description: partial 16S ribosomal RNA
Rfam family: Bacterial small subunit ribosomal RNA
Source: RNAcentral